UAGAAAAUAGUUUAACCAGUAAAACUAAGAAAUUUGAAUUCUUUAAUACAAGUGCAACCCUUGUUUUUCUAA
Molecule: transfer RNA, 72 nt
Filed under: Pisaster ochraceus (purple sea star)
Lineage: Eukaryota; Metazoa; Echinodermata; Asteroidea; Forcipulatida; Asteriidae
Rfam family: tRNA
About the family: Transfer RNA (tRNA) molecules are approximately 80 nucleotides in length. Their secondary structure includes four short double-helical elements and three loops (D, anti-codon, and T loops).
Source: Rfam by way of RNAcentral